Molecule: ribosomal RNA, 253 nt
Filed under: uncultured bacterium
Lineage: Bacteria
Description: partial 16S ribosomal RNA
Rfam family: Bacterial small subunit ribosomal RNA
Source: RNAcentral
UACGUAGGUGGCAAGCGUUGUCCGGAUUUACUGGGUGUAAAGGGCGUGCAGCCGGAGAGACAAGUCAGAUGUGAAAUCCACGGGCUCAACCCGUGAACUGCAUUUGAAACUGUUUCCCUUGAGUGUCGGAGAGGUAAUCGGAAUUCCUUGUGUAGCGGUGAAAUGCGUAGAUAUAAGGAAGAACACCAGUGGCGAAGGCAGCUUACCAAACUAUAUCUGACGUUGAGGCACGAAAGCGUGGGUAGCAAACAGG